GACGAACGCUGGCGGCGUGCUUAACACAUGCAAGUCGAACGGAAAGGCCCUGCUGUUGUGGGGUGCUCGAGUGGCGAACGGGUGAGUAACACGUGAGUAACCUGCCGUUGACUUUGGGAUAACUUCAGGAAACUGGGGCUAAUACUGGAUAGGAGCUCCUGAUGCAUGGUGGGGGUUGGAAAGUUUCGGCGGGUGGGGAUGGGCUCGCGGCUGACGAGCCUGUCGGUGGGGUAGUGGCUGACUGAGGCUUUGACGGGUCGCCGGCCUGAGAGGGUGACCGGCCACAUUGUGCCUAAGGUACGGGCCAGAGUGCAACGUGGGGCAGCGGUGGGAAAUAGUACGCAAAGGGCCGGGGCCUGGUACAACGACGCCGCGUGCGGAAUGACGGCCUUCGGGGUGUAAAGCGCUUUAGCCUGUGACGAAGCCUGAGUGACGGUAAUGGGUAAAGAAGCACCGGCUAACUACGUG
Molecule: ribosomal RNA, 468 nt
Filed under: uncultured bacterium
Lineage: Bacteria
Description: partial 16S ribosomal RNA
Rfam family: Bacterial small subunit ribosomal RNA
Source: RNAcentral